This is a long non-coding RNA of Mizuhopecten yessoensis (Yesso scallop), 579 nucleotides long. RefSeq lists it as uncharacterized. The record is from RefSeq and is a predicted model, not a curated record. The transcript has 3 exons. NCBI's taxonomy places the organism in Eukaryota, Metazoa, Mollusca, Bivalvia, Pectinida, Pectinidae.
CUUGUUGUUGUCGUUUGGUUCAUACAAGUCGCGUUUUGACGGGUUUUGCAGACAAUGAAGACAUCCAAAAUAGGAAGAUGAAAUGGACGAGAUCAUUGGGCAAUGAAAACAAGCAAUGCUCCUUUAUCCGUCUGACAGAACCGACAUAACUGCACAUUAACAAUACGUAAGACUUGCCUGGAUAACGCAGACACAUGAAUACGUCUUCAAGGUCUGUGAUAUCCUUCCUGUACUAUAAACAGACGACUGUCAUAGCUAGUGUGCAGCAAGUACUGGAUACCAACAUCGAUCCGCCCGGCGCCAGAUUCUCGAGAGGGAAACACGUGCCGAUCACUGACAUCUUGUUAUCUCCAGGUACUUGAGAAAAAUGACAGUUUUUCGAUACAUCCUUGUCAAUAGCCUCUCAGAGAACCAGAACAUGUUUACGACCCGAUAUUGUUGGGGUUGAAACUAGAUGAUUGGCGUGUUAUUAAGAAGCUAUGAUGGACAGUAUCUUUUUUCAUCUAAUUGAUAUCGAUCAUGUGACCAAUCAUGGUAUUUGUACAUAAAUGGUGUUUCAGUCAAUAAUAAAUAAUUCAA